CGACAAAGGAACUCUCCCAGCGUUUUCUUCUUUCUUUCUGCAGCUCGACGGUAGUCCUCCGAUCAGCCAUUUCUUCGCCGGAAACCUUACUCCAAUGGCUCAGAAUCUCAAGGUUCUUAUUAUCGGAGGAACUGGCUACAUCGGAAAAUUCAUAGUACAAGCCAGCGCCAAAGCCGGUCAUCCUACCUAUGCCUUGAUCCGCAAGUCUUCGCUCGCAAGCCCCGCCAAGUAUCGAAUCAUCAAUCAUUUCAAAAGCUUAGGG
RNAcentral lists this unclassified non-coding RNA (262 nucleotides) under Hevea brasiliensis (rubber tree). Lineage: Eukaryota; Viridiplantae; Streptophyta; Magnoliopsida; Malpighiales; Euphorbiaceae. The record is from RNAcentral.